This 1371-nucleotide long non-coding RNA is filed under the name Carica papaya (papaya). Its description in RNAcentral is "long non-coding RNA (CPAP_LNC007046)". The record is from RNAcentral. Lineage: Eukaryota; Viridiplantae; Streptophyta; Magnoliopsida; Brassicales; Caricaceae.
CAAAAAUAAUAAAACGUUACAACUUAAAGAACCUGAAAAUUCAUUUCCAACAGCCUCUUAUAAUAUAAUAAUCUGUAACCAACCACUUUCUAAGGUACUAACAAGCCAAAAACAACUAUCCAUCGUCUCUCAGUUUCUCUUUUAGCUUUGAAAAAUAAUAUAUAAUAUGAUAUGAGGUACAAGACAUGACCUCUAACAAUAUGCUAGUACCCGAUCUGGCUGCCUAUUUUAUAUAUAUAUAUAUAUAUACACACACACACUAUCAUAAAAAGGUAAAUAUUUGCCUAUCAUUUAAUUCUCUUUCAGUAAAAUGAAUGGGUGCAAGAGUAACCAACCCAGUAAUUGAGACUCUCCAUCUCUUUCGUCGGAUUUGUUACUCUCUCUUUUUUAGCUCUUUCGGCUCUCCAUCAAGAACAUCAUCGAUUAGUUUUCUUGAUGUUCUUCAGAAAUUUUUGUUAUAAAAACUCUCUCUCUCUCUCUCUCUCUCUCUCUCUCUCUUCACUACCAUCCUUUCUACUCUGUUUCUUUUUCUCCUCUGUCUCGCCCACAAUCAAAUAGCCAGGGGUCGGCCAAUGUCUCUCCGAUUCGUAAUGUCAUCGGUUUCCAAUAAACGUUUUGUUUUUUUUGACCGGAAAUCCGUUGAUGUUGUAUGUGAAGGAAAGAAACUCGAUGGCUUGAGAAUAAGUGAGAAUGGGAGGGGCUCCGAGUACCUCAAUCUCUCUGAACAAAACUGAGGUUAAAUGGCUGGAGGAGGCACACAGCGACUUAUAUUAGCUUAAAGGGGGAGCAACGUGGGGAAAAAAACUACUUGGUGAUGUCCGCCACUUCUACAUUGUUCUAUUCCGAAAUAGAAGGGGUCGUGCCCUAGUUUUGUCUGAGGAAAAUGGGAAAUCUGUCAAACGUAUUUUCAUCCUGGAAGGUUUUCAAGCGGGAAGGUGGUGGCGCAUGAUGAAAGCCAUUUUCGAACUCAUAGAAGUUCCGCUGGUGAAUCCAUUCGAAAAAGCCAAGCCAGUUAGACCAGUGUUCAUUCCUGGUGGUUGCAAAGAUUUGGAUGACAUCCCUUCAUGUUCGUUGUUCUUUAAUUGUCCACAAUGCAAAUGCGGUGUGCGUGUUCUGUUUGAGACAAUCGGAGGGAAGUCUUUCGCAGACGUUCUAAAAGCGGGCUGCAUGCUUUUACCCCGGGUGGAGAAGAAAGGAUCUGACCCGGCUAUUUCGAAAUUCAAAACUCAAAAGGGAACCAUUUUGCUAUAUUAGGCGGGGGGGAACCUUGGGUCCAUUCCACCUAAGCUCACUCCAAGAAAGCCCUACUUCACGCGGACCAUGUGAGAACCACCAAAGAAGCCCGAAAGAUACUUGGGUCCAGAAUAAAAA